AUCUAUGGCAAUGCCACCUUGAAUGUGCCUGAUCUUAUCUGAUCUCAGAAGCUAAACAGGGUCAGGCCCGGUUAGUACUUGGAUGGGAGACCACCAAGGAAUACCAGGUGCUGUAGGCA
RNAcentral lists this ribosomal RNA (119 nucleotides) under Pteropus alecto (black flying fox). Lineage: Eukaryota; Metazoa; Chordata; Mammalia; Chiroptera; Pteropodidae. The record is from RNAcentral.